AUUGAACGCUGGCGGCAGGCCUAACACAUGCAAGUCGAACGAGUGGCGGACGGGUGAGUAAUGUCUGGGCAACUGCCCGAUGGAGGGGGAUAACUACUGGAAACGUUAGCUAAUACCGCAUACCCUCGGAUGUGCCCAGAGGGGAUUAGCUAGGGGGUGGGGGAACGGCUCACCUAGGCGACGCUCCCUAGCUGGUCUGCGAGGAUGACCAGCCACACUGGAACGGAGAAACGGUCCAGACGCCUACGGGAGGCAGCAGUGGGGAAUAUUGCACAAUGGGCGCAAGCCUGAUGGAGCCAUGCCGCGUGUAUGAAGAAGGCCUUCGGGUUGUAAAGUACUGUCAGCGGGGAAGCGUUACUCGCAGAAGAAGCACCGGCUAACUCCGUGCCAGCAGCCGCGGUAAUAC
This 406-nucleotide ribosomal RNA is filed under the name uncultured bacterium. RNAcentral's name for it is "partial 16S ribosomal RNA". It matches the Rfam family "Bacterial small subunit ribosomal RNA", at positions 29 to 526 of the family's 1533-position model. The record is from RNAcentral.